RNAcentral lists this ribosomal RNA (445 nucleotides) under uncultured bacterium. RNAcentral describes it as "partial 16S ribosomal RNA". It matches the Rfam family "Bacterial small subunit ribosomal RNA", at positions 331 to 793 of the family's 1533-position model. The record is from RNAcentral.
CCAGACUCCUACGGGAGGCAGCAGUGGGGGAUAUUGCACAAUGGGGGAAACCCUGAUGCAGCGACGCCGCGUGAGUGAAGAAGUAAUUCGUUACGUAAAGCUCUAUCAGCAGGGAAGAAAAUGACGGUACCUGACUAAGAAGCCCCGGCUAACUACGUGCCAGCAGCCGCGGUAAUACGUAGGGGGCAAGCGUUAUCCGGAAUUACUGGGUGUAAAGGGAGCGCAGACGGCAGUGCAAGUCUGGAGUGAAAGCCCGCGGCUUAACUACGGGACUGCUCUGGAAACUGUGCAGCUAGAGUGCAGGAGAGGCAGGCGGAAUUCCUAGUGUAGCGGUGAAAUGCGUAGAUAUUAGGAGGAACACCAGUGGCGAAGGCGGCUUACUGGACUGUAACUGACGUUGAGGCUCGAAAGCGUGGGGAGCAAACAGGAUUAGAUACCCCCGUAC